UCCUAUAUAAGCCAUCUAAAACCCUAAUCCCCAUUGUACAGCCGCAUCUUUUCUCAACAAAUUUGCUCUGAGAAGUGAAGAGAACUCUUCGAUCAUCACCGAUUCAGAAUGAGAGCUAAGUGGAAGAAGAAGCGUAUGAGGAGGUUGAAGAGGAAGCGCCGAAAGAUGAGGCAGAGAUCGAAGUAGAACCACAUUACGCAGUUCUCAAUGGUUCUAUGGUUAAUCAUAUGUAGCCUCAUGCUGUUGAAGUUUUAGUUUGAAAUUGCAGUAACAAUGAGUGGUGAUUUUAUCCUAUUGGCACCGAAUUCAGAUUCUGAUAUCCGUUUUUUGCUAUUGAUUUAUGUUUUUUAUUAA
Solanum dulcamara is the source of this 354-nucleotide long non-coding RNA. RefSeq lists it as uncharacterized. NCBI's taxonomy places the organism in Eukaryota, Viridiplantae, Streptophyta, Magnoliopsida, Solanales, Solanaceae. The transcript has 2 exons. The record is from RefSeq and is a predicted model, not a curated record.